ACCAGACAGGACUGCAUUAGGAGGAACGCCAGGGUGUCCACAGUCAAUCACUACAAUACAUAAUUAUUGAAUAUAAAAUUUUUUUAUAUCUCCUAUCGAACAACCUGCACCAUGCUUUAUAAAAUAAAUCAGAAGUAAAUUAUCUCUUCAAAUAUAACUAGCCUCCAGAAGUCAAAAGUCGAUGUUAAAGCUGGCUUUUCAAAAACAAAAUGGAAGUUACAGCUACAUGAGCAAUCCUGUUAACCCACUCACCAUGUUUAGCAGGAACAUGGCACCUGGUUUCAGAUCCACUCCAAAGACCUGAAGAGAGACAUUCCCGUACGGCAGAGCCCACAAGCAUGAAUCCUGAAUCACAGGUACCAUUAGGAAGACAUUCAAUAGAAGCAGGACCUAGUCCAUGAUAACCAGGAUCACAGCUGAAAACUACCUUAGUUUUGUAUUCAUAAUGGGAGCCAUUCACAAUUCGCCAUCUUCCAUGUUCCAAGGCUCCACACCCAGUAUGGAUCCCAAAGCAGAGCUUCAACUUAUACUCUGAGAUCAAGAGUCAGAUGGUUAACCAACUGAGCCACCCAGGCACUCCUGUAUGUCAGUAUCUUUUGAGGAUGACUACUGCUUAAAUAGUGCCAUGUUUUAGUUCAAAUGUGUACAGAUGUCU
This is a long non-coding RNA of Canis lupus familiaris (dog), 655 nucleotides long. RefSeq lists it as uncharacterized. Lineage: Eukaryota; Metazoa; Chordata; Mammalia; Carnivora; Canidae. The transcript is spliced from 4 exons. The record is from RefSeq and is a predicted model, not a curated record.